GCCUUCGUGGUGUAGUGGUCAGCACGCUGGGCGCGUAUUCCAGAGGUCCGUGGUUCAAGUCCCGGAGAAGGCG
This 73-nucleotide transfer RNA is filed under the name Stegodyphus mimosarum. It matches the Rfam family "tRNA". Rfam says of the family: Transfer RNA (tRNA) molecules are approximately 80 nucleotides in length. Their secondary structure includes four short double-helical elements and three loops (D, anti-codon, and T loops). The record is from Rfam by way of RNAcentral. Lineage: Eukaryota; Metazoa; Arthropoda; Arachnida; Araneae; Eresidae.